UAUGUUAAAGUGUAAAGAAGCACGUUGAGUUUUGAUCUCAAAAGUUUAGUUUAAUCCUAAGUAAUAUAA
Molecule: transfer RNA, 69 nt
Filed under: Entomovelia sp. YC-2015
Lineage: Eukaryota; Metazoa; Arthropoda; Insecta; Hemiptera; Veliidae
Description: tRNA-Gln
Source: RNAcentral